This 249-nucleotide ribosomal RNA is filed under the name uncultured bacterium. RNAcentral describes it as "partial 16S ribosomal RNA". It matches the Rfam family "Bacterial small subunit ribosomal RNA", at positions 35 to 285 of the family's 1533-position model. The record is from RNAcentral.
GCUGGCGGCGUGCCUAACACAUGCAAGUCGAACGGGAACCCUUGGAUUCGUCUGAGGGGGAGAGUGGCGAACGGGUGAGUAACACGUAGGUGACCUGCCCCGAAGAGGGGGAUAACUGCUGGAAACGGUGGCUAAUACCCCAUGUGGUCUAUCGAUCGUACGGUAGAUUAAAGUUCCGGCGCUUCGGGAGGGGCCUGCGGCCCAUCAGGUAGUUGGUAGGGUAAUGGCCUACCAAGCCGAUGACGGGUA